AGGACGAACGCUGGCGGCGUGCUUAACACAUGCAAGUCGAGCGAUGAAGCUCCUCGGGAGUGGAUUAGCGGCGGACGGGUGAGUAACACGUGGGCAACCUGCCUGUAGAGAGGAAUAGCCAUUCGAAAGGAUGAUUAAUACCUCAUAAUAUUGUAGCUUCGCAUGAAGCAACAACCAAGGAGCAAUCCACUACAAGAUGGGGCCCGCGGCGCAUUAGGCUAGGUUGGUGGGGUAACGGCUCACCAAGGCGACGAUGCGUAGCCGACCUGAGAGGGUGAUCGGCCACAUUGGGACUGAGACACGGCCCAGACUCCUACGGGAGGCAGCAGUGGGGAAUAUUGCACAAUGGGGGAAACCCUGAUGCAGCCAACGCCGCGUGAGUGAUGACGGUCUUCGGAUUGUAAAGCUCUGUCUUCAGGGACGAUAAUGACGGUACCUGAGGAGGAAGCCACGGCUAACUACGUGCCAGCAGCUGC
This 476-nucleotide ribosomal RNA is filed under the name uncultured bacterium. RNAcentral's name for it is "bacterial SSU rRNA". It matches the Rfam family "Bacterial small subunit ribosomal RNA", at positions 26 to 518 of the family's 1533-position model. The record is from RNAcentral.